Molecule: long non-coding RNA, 453 nt
Filed under: Fragaria vesca (wild strawberry)
Lineage: Eukaryota; Viridiplantae; Streptophyta; Magnoliopsida; Rosales; Rosaceae
Description: long non-coding RNA (FVES_LNC000531)
Source: RNAcentral
ACCGGAGGCGAGUCGAUCUACGGCGCCAAGUUCGCCGACGAGAACUUCGUCAAGAAGCACACCGGCCCCGGAAUCCUCUCCAUGGCGAAUGCGGGCCCCGGGACCAACGGAUCUCAGUUCUUCAUCUGCACCGCCAAGACUGAGUGGCUCGAUGGCAAGCACGUCGUGUUCGGCCAGGUCGUUGAGGGCCUCGAUGUCGUCAAGAACAUCGAGAAGGUCGGGUCCGGCUCUGGAAGGUGCUCCAAGCCUGUUGUUGUUGCCGACUGUGGCCAGCUCUGUUAGACGACGUGUCGUUUCUGUGAUCGGCGAUCGUCGUUUCUCUGUUAUGAUGGGUCCUCUUUUCCUUCUAUGUUUAAAUUUCGAAUUUUAAAUUUCUGUUUUUCGUCGUAGAUGGGUCGCUGUCUCUAUCUCUAGUGUUUGAGUUUCUUAUGGUAUUGGGGCCUUUUGGUGGCC